GCCCGCUCAAGAAACUUAAGGAAUUGACGGGGGCCCGCACAAGCGGUGGAGUAUGUGGUCUAAUUCGAUGCAACGCGAAGAACCUUACCUGGUCUUGACAUCCCGGAGACCCUUAGGAAACUAGGGGGUGCUUCCAUCUGGAAGAAUCUGGAGACAGGUGCUGCAUGGCUGUCGUCAGCUCGUGUCGUGAGAUGUUGGGUUAAGUCCCGCAACGAGCGCAACCCUUGCCUUUAGUUGCCAGCAGUUCGGCUGGGCACUCUAAAGGGACUGCCGGUGUUAAACCGGAGGAAGGUGGGGAUGACGUCAAGUCCUCAUGGCCUUUAUGACCAGGGCUACACACGUACUACAAUGGCCGAUACAAAGGGCAGCGACACUGCGAGGUGAAGCCAAUCCCGUAAAAUCGGUCUCAGUCCGGAUUGGAGUCUGCAACUCGACUCCAUGAAGUUGGAAUCGCUAGUAAUCGUGGAUCAGCAUGCCACGGUGAAUACGUUCCCGGGCCUU
RNAcentral lists this ribosomal RNA (501 nucleotides) under uncultured Desulfobulbus sp. RNAcentral's name for it is "bacterial SSU rRNA". It matches the Rfam family "Bacterial small subunit ribosomal RNA", at positions 904 to 1382 of the family's 1533-position model. Lineage: Bacteria; Pseudomonadati; Thermodesulfobacteriota; Desulfobulbia; Desulfobulbales; Desulfobulbaceae. The record is from RNAcentral.